Molecule: long non-coding RNA, 734 nt
Filed under: Homo sapiens (human)
Lineage: Eukaryota; Metazoa; Chordata; Mammalia; Primates; Hominidae
Description: non-protein coding LINC02506:12
Source: RNAcentral
CCUUCCACACUGUGGGAGGUUUGUUCUUUUGCUCUUUGCAAUAAAGCUUGCUGCUGCUCACUCUUUGGGUCCAGACUGUCUUUAUGAGCUAUAACACUCACCGGGAAGGUCUGCAGCUUCACUCCUGAAGCCAAGGAGACCACGAACCCACCGGGAGGAAGGAACAACUACAGACACGCCGGCUUAAGAGCUGUAGCACUCACUGCGAAGGUCCGCAGCUUCACUCUUGAGCCAGAGACCACGAACCCACCAGAAGGAAGAAACUCCAAACACAUCCGAACAUCAGAAGGAAAAAACUCCAGACACGCCGCCUUUAAGAACUGCAACACUGCGAGGGUCCGCGGCUUCAUUCUUGAAGUCAGUGAGACCAAGAACCCACCAAUUCCAGACACACUACCAAAGGCAGAGGGGAGCUCCUAGACAAAGAUAUUUUGCUUACAAAUGGAACAUAUCAAAUCAAGCUUUUGUGAACUUGAGGGAAGAAACAAAGAAUAUGAAGCCUAAAUGGAAGUGUCAGGAAAUGGUCGCCUUGCGGACAAGGAAACAGCAGCCUGGAAGGCCAGGAGAGGGCAGACUACCCACCUAACCCUCUGCAGAAUUUUGUGUGGACCCUGGAGACCAGAAACUAACUUCUCCUGCAGAGACAAGGUCUUGCUCUGUCACCCUGGCUGGUCUUGAACUCCUGGCUUCAAGCAAUUCAUCCAUCUCAGCCUCCUGAGUAGCUGGGAUUACAG